GAUGAACGCUGGCGGCGUGCCUAAUACAUGCAAGUCGAGCGAACAGACGAGGAGCUUGCCCCUCUGACGUUAGCGGCGGACGGGUGAGUAACACGUGGAUAACCCACCUAUAAGACUGGGAUAACUUCGGGAAACCGGAGCUAAUACCGGAUAAUAUAUUGAACCGCAUGGUUCAAUAGUGAAAGACGGGUUUGCUGUCACUUAUAGAUGGAUCCGCGCCGCAUUAGCUAGUUGGUAAGGUAACGGCUUACCAAGGCGACGAUGCGUAGCCGACCUGAGAGGGUGAUCGGCCACACUGGAACUGAGACACGGUCCAGACUCCUACGGGAGGCAGCAGUAGGGAAUCUUCCGCAAUGGGCGAAAGCCUGACGGAGCAACGCCGCGUGAGUGAUGAAGGUCUUCGGAUCGUAAAACUCUGUUAUUAGGGAAGAACAAAUGUGUAAGUAACUAUGCACGUCUUGACGGUACCUAAUCAGAAAGCCACGGCUAACUACGUG
RNAcentral lists this ribosomal RNA (497 nucleotides) under uncultured bacterium. RNAcentral's name for it is "partial 16S ribosomal RNA". It matches the Rfam family "Bacterial small subunit ribosomal RNA", at positions 28 to 507 of the family's 1533-position model. The record is from RNAcentral.